GAUGAACGCUGGCGGCGUGCCUAAUACAUGCCAGUCGAGCGAACAGACGAGGAGCUUGCUCCUCUGACGUUAGCGGCGGACGGGUGAGUAACACGUGGAUAACCUACCUAUAAGACUGGGAUAACUUCGGGAAACCGGAGCUAAUACCGGAUAAUAUAUUGAACCGCAUGGUUCAAUAGUGAAAGACGGUUUUGCUGUCACUUAUAGAUGGAUCCGCGCCGCAUUAGCUAGUUGGUAAGGUAACGGCUUACCAAGGCAACGAUGCGUAGCCGACCUGAGAGGGUGAUCGGCCACACUGGAACUGAGACACGGUCCAGACUCCUACGGGAGGCAGCAGUAGGGAAUCUUUCGCAAUGGGCGAAAGCCUGACGGAGCAACGCCGCGUGAGUGAUGAAGGUCUUCGGAUCGUAAAACUCUGUUAUUAGGGAAGAACAAAUGUGUAAGUAACUAUGCACGUCUUGACGGUACCUAAUCAGAAAGCCACGGCUAACUACGUG
This 497-nucleotide ribosomal RNA is filed under the name uncultured bacterium. RNAcentral's name for it is "partial 16S ribosomal RNA". It matches the Rfam family "Bacterial small subunit ribosomal RNA", at positions 28 to 507 of the family's 1533-position model. The record is from RNAcentral.